CGGCGUGCUUAACACAUGCAAGUCGAACGAUGAAGCCCUUCGGGGUGGAUUAGUGGCGAACGGGUGAGUAACACGUGGGCAAUCUGCCCUUCACUCUGGGACAAGCCCUGGAAACGGGGUCUAAUACCGGAUACCACUCCUUCUCGCAUGGGAAGGGGUUGAAAGCUCCGGCGGUGAAGGAUGAGCCCGCGGCCUAUCAGCUUGUUGGUGAGGUAGUGGCUCACCAAGGCGACGACGGGUAGCCGGCCUGAGAGGGCGACCGGCCACACUGGGACUGAGACACGGCCCAGACUCCUACGGGAGGCAGCAGUGGGGAAUAUUGCACAAUGGGCGAAAGCCUGAUGCAGCGACGCCGCGUGAGGGAUGACGGCCUUCGGGUUGUAAACCUCUUUCAGCAGGGAAGAAGCGAAAGUGACGGUACCUGCAGAAGAAGCGCCGGCUAACUACGUGCCAGCAGCCGCGGUAAUACGUAGGGCGCAAGCGUUGUCCGGAAUUAUUGGGCGUAAAGAGCUCGUAGGCGGCUUGUCGCGUCGGUUGUGAAAGCCCGGGGCUUAACCCCGGGUCUGCAGUCGAUACGGGCAGGCUAGAGUGUGGUAGGGGAGAUCGGAAUUCCUGGUGUAGCGGUGAAAUGCGCAGAUAUCAGGAGGAACACCGGUGGCGAAGGCGGAUCUCUGGGCCAUUACUGACGCUGAGGAGCGAAAGCGUGGGGAGCGAACAGGAUUAGAUACCCUGGUAGUCCACGCCGUAAACGGUGGGAACUAGGUGUUGGCGACAUUCCACGUCGUCGGUGCCGCAGCUAACG
RNAcentral lists this ribosomal RNA (802 nucleotides) under bacterium. RNAcentral's name for it is "bacterial SSU rRNA". It matches the Rfam family "Bacterial small subunit ribosomal RNA", at positions 40 to 857 of the family's 1533-position model. The record is from RNAcentral.